This is a long non-coding RNA of Balaenoptera musculus (blue whale), 2405 nucleotides long. RefSeq lists it as uncharacterized. The record is from RefSeq and is a predicted model, not a curated record. The transcript is spliced from 6 exons. Lineage: Eukaryota; Metazoa; Chordata; Mammalia; Artiodactyla; Balaenopteridae.
CUUACCCUUUAUCUGAGAUACCGGCGGAUUUUGCCCGCCUCCUCGAAUUCUUCUUACCUUUUGUCCUGCGUUACACGCCGGGGAAAGGAAUUCUGGGAUCGUGUGUUAUGCUGAUGCAAAGUGUUUUUAAGAAGUAAAGAAGUUGUAAAACAAUGGAUACAAGUGUAUAUUUAUAAUACAAGAAAUGACGAUUCUGAAAAAGAAGCUGAUGACCAGAAUAAGGGAUAGGAAGAUGACCUGUUUGCUUGAAGAGCGAGACCAGAGAGCAAGGAGCGGAGUAACUUGAUCCUUGAGGGUGCCUUUGGCUUAAGGGGGAAGCUGACUCUUCCGGAGAAUCCUGGAGCCGACAACAAAGGAACUCAGCACCCAGCUAACUUCCAGGAAGAAGCUUCCUUUCCUCCCCCUGCUUUUCCCCUUUCCCCUCCUUUCUCUCUCUGCAGCCAUCAGAAAUAAACUCUGGCUCAUUUCAUCUGAAAUAUGCUUUAUUCCAGGGAGAGUAAUAGCUCAGAGAAUCUCUGAAAAAGAUCUCUAGAAAAAUCUCUAGAAAAGACAAGGAAACAGAUUAUCCCCUAGAGCCUCCAGAAGGACUCUCGCCCUAUUUCCAGCACGGGUGUACCCAACAUGGUUCUCACUGGAAUUACAGCAAAUUGGAAGACAGUGGUGGUGACACAGGGUGAAGAACUACUUUUCAGAGGGUGAAACACAAGACUGGCUUUUAGGAAUUUUCCCCCAAAGUAAUUUGUGACUGGAUCCUGUUGCCGAAACUUGGCCUCUGUUCACCGGUGCCGAAGAGGAACGCGGAGACAGAGUUUUGGUUCCCCGACCACGGAUCGAACCCGUGCGCCCUGCAGUGGAAGCUCACAGUCUAAACCCUGGACCGCCAGGGAAGUCCGUGAGUUUUUUUUGUUCAUGUUGUUGUUUGUUUUAAUUUUUCAACUGUUACUAGGAAAUAAUUGUGGAGCAAGUGCUUGGUUUUAAUGCUGGAAAGCAAAAGAACGUAACUAAGGACUUUUCCCAAGGAAUGCUUUGAGAUCUUUAUGUCAAUUUGUGGUGUGACUUAUCCACUUUUUCAAUUAAGGAUUCUUAAUUAAAGGAAAACAAACUUAUUUAUAGGUUCGAAUCAGUCUUACAGAGCAACAGGUUUUCAACUGGGAUCCGCAGCCCACCCGCAUCUGAAACAUGUGGUUUGUGUGUACGUGAAAAAUGCAGACUCUAGGGCCCCACACCAACGAAACCUCUGGGGGUUGGAGCCCAGGAAGGAGCUUCUGUAAUCUCCACAGCUGAUUCUGAGGCACUCUAAUUGUAAGAACUGCCCUUUAAUAUUUUUAGAUAAGGGGAUUGUUACAAAAUGACAAGAGGGUAAAUAAUCAUUCUUUUAAAGUUAGACUUCAAGCGUUGGACAGCGAGGUGAGCUCUUCCUGACAGUUUGUCUUUCCUGUUCUUCCCCACUCAGCCUAGGGACGCGUGCAGAAAUUAGAAACAAAGUAGGGGAAGAAAACCUUAUUUCUUUACACACAUUUUGCUUUAAUAGCCACCGAAAAGAUUGUUUCAUUUCCUCUCACUGACCCUGUCCACCAGUUAUGUUGGCCUUUAACGUAUCGCUAUAGCAGCAUGUAUAAAUAUAUAUCAUACAUUUAUUCACACAUACACACAUUCGAAAGCACUGUGAAGACACAGACUAGGCUUUGGCACAACUGGGGGCCGCUCACAUGUCACUUAAAAAUGGUCACUGGUUCAUUUACACAAGACUUUCAACAGGCUUGGUGUGGCCAGUGGCCCCCAAGUCCCAGAGAGAAGUUAGGAUGACAAAAUCGGACAGUGUAUUUAGAGUGAGGUCAGUACACUUCUUGGAGAUCAUAAAAGCAUAGAAAUAGGAGGUCUAGGCUAAGCACGAGACGGCAUCUGGGGAUCACUGCUCUCACCACGUGGGUUCAAAGAACUCAGGUGCUGCAGUGUAGACCGACGCCCAGCCUGACUGUGACCCAGCCGCGCUGGCCCCGGGUCAGGUCGUCGGGCCCCUGCCGACACUGUCCUGCGGGGCACCGCUGCUCAGUCCUGAGCUUUUCGAUCUGCCGUGGAGCUCCAGCGUGGGGACCACAUGCUCCAUUGCUAGGAAGCAGGUCCCGUUUCCCCCGAGUUGACCCUCGGAGGAUGAGGCGAGAAAUGUGCUGUUGCUGGUUCCCAAGCCCCUGGGGCGUUCAGAAGCAGUGCCACAAGGUCCUCUACCAACGGUGCCUGUUUUGCUUAGUGCUGGGCCCGGUGGACCUUGGCUGGUUGUUCCUCAACAACUGCAGGAGAGGCCCUCUGCCUUUCGCCCUGCCCCACCAGGCCACAUCUCUGACUCCUUCCAGACCCUCCAGCAGGUGUGGAGGAGUGGGGCCCAGAUCCUCCUCAGCAGACAGGGA